CAGCAGCCGCGGUAAUACAGAGGGUGCAAGCGUUAAUCGGAAUUACUGGGCGUAAAGCGCGCGUAGGUGGUUUGUUAAGUUGGAUGUGAAAUCCCCGGGCUCAACCUGGGAACUGCAUCCAAAACUUGCAAGCUAGAGUAUGGUAGAGGGUGGUGGAAUUUCCUGUGUAGCGGUGAAAUGCGUAGAUAUAGGAAGGAACACCAGUGGCGAAGGCGACCACCUGGACUGAUACUGACACUGAGGUGCGAAAGCGUGGGGAGCAAACAGGAUUAGAUACCCGCGUAGUCCCUGUCUCUUAUAC
This 301-nucleotide ribosomal RNA is filed under the name uncultured bacterium. RNAcentral's name for it is "partial 16S ribosomal RNA". It matches the Rfam family "Bacterial small subunit ribosomal RNA", at positions 509 to 807 of the family's 1533-position model. The record is from RNAcentral.